Molecule: long non-coding RNA, 1248 nt
Organism: Cyprinus carpio (common carp)
Lineage: Eukaryota; Metazoa; Chordata; Actinopteri; Cypriniformes; Cyprinidae
Source: Ensembl
AUGAAGAUUUCACCAGUGACCUCUGACCGGCUUAUUAUGAAGCAGAAGAUUUCCCAUGAUGCACUUCACAGCAGGUCUGCGGUAGAUGAAGAAGCUCCACAGACUGCAAUGAGAGAAAUGGUCGUAAACGGCUUGGAGGGGAAGAAGAAUUGGCCAAGAAUCAGAGAGAAGAUUCAACCUAGAGCUGAGGUCAAGCCACACACACACAAACACACACACACGCGCGCACAGAUGCACACACACACACACACACACACACACAUAUACACAGAUACGCACACACACACACACACACACACACACAUAUACACAGACACGCACACACACACACACACACACACACACAUAUACACAGACACACACACACACACACACACACACACACACACACACACACACACAGAUGCACACACAGACACACACACACAGAUGCACACACACAUAGAUGCACACACACACACGGUUUAAAUGUCAACAACUGCAUUCCUAAUUGAGAUGAACUUGGACCUGAAGUUAAAUGUUCUUUUAAACAAACAACAAACAACAACAGCAGCAACUAAAUGUCAGAAGAAACAGAGGAAGAGAAAAGAGAGGAUGAGAGUUUAUGAGAUGCAGGAACGUCAGGUUUCUCUCACCUACAAUGCAGUGUGUGCAAAAAAAAAAAGCACAAAGUCGCUUAAAUAUCAUUUAAAUCUCAAAAUGCAUAUAUAUUUAAAAUGUUUCAUCAGACAGUUCUUUGCACGAGUUUAAGCGGAAUGAUUCUCACCUGUAGAUGAUUUGCUCAGGAUAGAUCUCCUGUCUGCACCUCAGCCGCCUGCACUUACAUCAUCAUCAGGAUCAAUGAUAUAAAGACAGUUUAGAUACACAACAAUAGACAGAGAGAGAAACAGUGAGACGCAGCGGGAGGAAUCACUUAACAUUCCCACAUCAACUGUUUCCUGUUCACAACAUUUCUACUUCCCCCUCCUUUAUUUACAGUACAGCUUCAAUUCCCAAGCUCCACUGUUUACCUCCAAUAAUAACAUGGAACUAUUAAUCACAAUCUCUCGCUUUUUAUGGCAUUUUCCUGUAAACUUGAGCCCUGCGAGAACAAACAAAACACUUUCGGUUACCAUAGAGUCAGUCAGGGUUUGAAGUCUCUCAGCAUUUGUUGAAACUGUAAAAAAAUGUUAAAAGAGAGAUGAGGUUGAUGUGAUGCCAGAGACCAAACCGCACCCAAAAAACAAAAUAAAACACGGCCCCACAGCA